CNNNNNUUGCUCCUGGAUUCAGCGGCGGACGGGUGAGUAAUGCCUAGGAAUCUGCCUGGUAGUGGGGGACAACGUUUCGAAAGGAACGCUAAUACCGCAUACGUCCUACGGGAGAAAGCAGGGGACCUUCGGGCCUUGCGCUAUCAGAUGAGCCUAGGUCGGAUUAGCUUGUUGGUGAGGUAAUGGCUCACCAAGGCGACGAUCCGUAACUGGUCUGAGAGGAUGAUCAGUCACACUGGAACUGAGACACGGUCCAGACUCCUACGGGAGGCAGCAGUGGGGAAUAUUGGACAAUGGGCGAAAGCCUGAUCCAGCCAUGCCGCGUGUGUGAAGAAGGUCUUCGGAUUGUAAAGCACUUUAAGUUGGGAGGAAGGGUUGUAGAUUAAUACUCUGCAAUUUUGACGUUACCGACAGAAUAAGCACCGGCUAACUCUGUGCCAGCAGCCGCGGUAAUACAGAGGGUGCAAGCGUUAAUCGGAAUUACUGGGCGUAAAGCGCGCGUAGGUGGUUUGUUAAGUUGGAUGUGAAAGCCCCGGGCUCAACCUGGGAACUGCAUCCAAAACUGGCAAGCUAGAGUACGGUAGAGGGUGGUGGAAUUUCCUGUGUAGCGGUGAAAUGCGUAGAUAUAGGAAGGAACACCAGUGGCGAAGGCGACCACCUGGACUGAUACUGACACUGAGGUGCGAAAGCGUGGGGAGCAAACAGGAUUAGAUACCCUGGUAGUCCACGCCGUAAACGAUGUCAACUAGCCGUUGGAAUCCUUGAGAUUUUAGUGGCGCAGCUAACGCAUUAAGUUGACCGCCUGGGGAGUACGGCCGCAAGGUUAAACUCAAAUGAAUUGACGGGGGCCCGCACAAGCGGUGGAGCAUGUGGUUUANUUCGAAGCAACGCGAAAAACCUUACCAGGCCUUGACAUGCANAGAACUUUCCAGAGAUGGAUUGGUGCCUUCGGGAACUCUGACACAGGUGCUGCAUGGCUGUCGUCAGCUCGUGUCGUGANAUGUUGGGUUAANUCCCGUAACGAGCGCACCCUNGUCNUNNUUACNGCACGUUAUGGNGGGCACUCUANGANAUGCCGNGACAACCGAAGAAGGGGGGAUGACGUCANUCAUCNUGGCCUUACGCCUGGGNUNCCCGNGCUCAUGGCNGNACAAGGNUGCCANCCCNAGGGGNNUAUCCNAAACCAUCNAANCNGAUCCANCUGCAUCCCUGCGGAANCGAAUCUUNAACCCAAAAANGNCGGGAACUC
This 1249-nucleotide ribosomal RNA is filed under the name Pseudomonas sp. 4. RNAcentral describes it as "partial 16S ribosomal RNA". It matches the Rfam family "Bacterial small subunit ribosomal RNA", at positions 73 to 1327 of the family's 1533-position model. The record is from RNAcentral. Lineage: Bacteria; Pseudomonadati; Pseudomonadota; Gammaproteobacteria; Pseudomonadales; Pseudomonadaceae.